AGAGAAGACCCAUUCUGCAAGAGUAUGACAC
Molecule: non-coding RNA, 31 nt
Filed under: Mus musculus (house mouse)
Lineage: Eukaryota; Metazoa; Chordata; Mammalia; Rodentia; Muridae
Source: RNAcentral